RNAcentral lists this non-coding RNA (25 nucleotides) under Mus musculus (house mouse). Lineage: Eukaryota; Metazoa; Chordata; Mammalia; Rodentia; Muridae. The record is from RNAcentral.
UGAUAAUGGACCAGCUUAUACGUCC